UACGGCUAUAAUACGUUGAAGCACUGGUUCUCGUACGCAUCACCGAAGUUAAGCAACAUCAGGCCAAGUCAGUACCUCGUUGGGUGACCGCUUGAGAAUAAUUCG
Molecule: non-coding RNA, 105 nt
Organism: Acanthosepion pharaonis
Lineage: Eukaryota; Metazoa; Mollusca; Cephalopoda; Sepiida; Sepiidae
Source: the annotation of a GenBank genome assembly